Molecule: ribosomal RNA, 497 nt
Filed under: uncultured bacterium
Lineage: Bacteria
Description: partial 16S ribosomal RNA
Rfam family: Bacterial small subunit ribosomal RNA
Source: RNAcentral
GAUGAACGCUGGCGGCGUGCCUAAUACAUGCAAGUCGAGCGAACAGAUGAGGAGCUUGCUCCUCUGACGUUAGCGGCGGACGGGUGAGUAACACGUGGAUAACCUACCUAUAAGACUGGGAUAACUUCGGAAAACCGGAGCUAAUACCGGAUAAUAUAUUGAACCGCAUGGUUCAAUAGUGAAAGACGGUUUUGCUGUCACUUAUAGAUGGAUCCGCGCCGCAUUAGCUAGUUGGUAAGGUAACGGCUUACCAAGGCAACGAUGCGUAGCCGACCUGAGAGGGUGAUCGGCCACACUGGAACUGAGACACGGUCCAGACUCCUACGGGAGGCAGCAGUAGGGAAUCUUCCGCAAUGGGCGAAAGCUUGACGGAGCAACGCCGCGUGAGUGAUGAAGGUCUUCGGAUCGUAAAACUCUGUUAUUAGGGAAGAACAAAUGUGUAAGUAACUAUGCACGUCUUGACGGUACCUAAUCAGAAAGCCACGGCUAACUACGUG